UUCCUUCUCCCGACUGGGUGGGUCGAUCGGGCACAGAGCCUCUCCACAUCCCACCCACCCCACACUGGCAUCCCCAAAACGACUUCCCGGAGAGAGACCCUGGCGGCUUCUUGGCCGCCCAAGCCCGGAAUGGUUUCAUUAGCAGACUAGGGAGCUUCGCGGAGAAUGCGGUUCCGCGCUGCCAGCACACGCCCCCAAACGAUGAUCGCAAAGAAAAAAAAAAGUUAGGUUCCUGUGGCUUUCCCGUCCUACCCCCUAUAUUCCCUCCCUCUCCCUUCCUCUUUCUUUCUUUUUUUUUUUUUAACAGAGAUAUAGCCUCUACCCACCUGCUGUUAUCCUCGAGUGAGAGGAGGGUCCAGGGACCAUUCAAGAUUCUUCACGUCCUACUCAAACACCAAGUCUUUUCAGCAAUGGGUUGCCUCAUGGCCAGACACAGGUCCAAAGUGCAUACAAGGUCGAUUGGAAUGCCUUCGGAAUCAGAUUCAAACCGCUGACAGAAAUCAUCAUGAUCCAGGACCACUUCCCUUCCCAAAAAAUUUGUGGACAACUAAAAUAGAAGCAAUUGAAAAUCAUAAGGAAUAUUACUGGUGGAGGUGGCUAUUAUUGUUGUUGUUGUUAUUGUUAUUUUUAAUAGAGUUGUCCAGGCUUGCUGACUACUCAUUUAGCCUCACAAAAUCUGACCAUUUAAGAAAGGCCAAGUCUGUCAGACAUGCCAGGAAUGUAUUUAUAAAUUCUUCAUGCUGUGUUUUCAUUUGCAGCUGCCGUUUGUGUUUCAUAUUGUAAGGUCAAAGCCACUCCAGUUAUUAAAUCUUUUCUAUAAUGCUAUAAGUCACCUAUCUAGUCUGAGACUAAGCUAAUUUCAGCCACAUCAGACAACAUAUGAUGCUGUUAAGAAAAGACUGAACAUGCUCAGAAAGCAAGCAGAUUUAGCGCAAACCUGUGGCACGGUGAUGGAGAUUUUUUCCUUAUACUUGGUCAGAAGAUCCAGUCUGGAAAAUGGUAGAAAAGGUACCUAUCUAAUCUCUACCCAAAUUUCCUAUUAAAAAACUAUAACAUAAUGCCUCAGAAUGAAUUCUGAGUAGCACAAACCACAAAAAGAUGAAGUGAAGUAAUUUUUCAACCCAAAACAACUUGAGAGGCCAGCACAAAGGAUCUAGUACACUGGAGUGAGGUUAAGUGCAAAGCGACGGACUAGGGCAGGCCCCAUUACAAUGGACCCUAGGCUCAGCUAAAGCAGUAGCAAACGUUUCAGGAACUCUCAGCCACAGAUGGUAAGAGGUAUAGGACAACUGCUCCAAAAGAUAUUACUGGUUCUGGGCACAAGACUCUUGUUGCACUGCCCAUACAUAGGUCCAAUAAGCAAUCCUGGGCCAUGUUCUCAGAGGAAGGAGGAGUACUAUCACACACCAGCACUUGAGGCCACAGGAGAGGAGACCCUGAUCACAGUUCCAAGGGGUAAAAAAGUACUUGUGGUUACCUCCAGAGUAGAGCACAAGCCUGGAGAAUAUUAAACACACCUUUUCUUACAUCAUAUCACCUUAGAGGAACUAAAAGCAGAUAGAUCCCCAGAGAUAGCACUGAAG
Long non-coding RNA from Monodelphis domestica (gray short-tailed opossum), 1583 nucleotides. Lineage: Eukaryota; Metazoa; Chordata; Mammalia; Didelphimorphia; Didelphidae. The record is from Ensembl.